CGGUUAAGUCCGCUAACGAGCGCAACCCUCGUCGUGUGUUAUACGUGUCACACGAGUACUGCCGGUAAUCAAGCCGGAGGAAGGUGGGGAUGAUGUCAAGUCAGCAUGGCCUUUAUAUCCUGGGCUACACACACGCUACAAUGGCAGAUACAAUAGGUUGCGAAACCGCGAGGUGGAGCCAAUCCUCAAAGUCUGUCUCAGUUCAGAUUGUAGGCUGCAACUCGCCUGCAUGAAGUUGGAGUUGCUAGUAAACGCAGGUCAGCUAUACUGCGUUGAAUACGUUCCCGGGGUUU
Molecule: ribosomal RNA, 293 nt
Filed under: uncultured Leptolinea sp.
Lineage: Bacteria; Bacillati; Chloroflexota; Anaerolineae; Anaerolineales; Anaerolineaceae
Description: partial 16S ribosomal RNA
Rfam family: Bacterial small subunit ribosomal RNA
Source: RNAcentral